GUGAAACGUGCGUCUCCCCUCCAGACGCACGGCGCUCGCCAGUCCGCCGCUGCUCAGUCUGCGAUGUGGAGGUGUCCCGGUGCGUCGUCGUCCGGACACCGGACAAGUGAUGCUCUGAGCUGCACUGUUGCUCCGCUGCCGCCUCUCGUCUCUGCAGCAAACCGGGCUGGAAAUGGUCCGGCGUUCAGAGGUUAGACUCUCGCUCAAUAGAGGGUCACAGCCACAAGCACCUCAGCAGCCCUGCUCAAGCCUGGCAGGAGUCAUCUGCCCGCCUUCAUCCGUCUGAACAGCAGCGAGGGCUGACAGA
Salarias fasciatus (jewelled blenny) is the source of this 307-nucleotide long non-coding RNA. RefSeq lists it as uncharacterized. The record is from RefSeq and is a predicted model, not a curated record. The transcript is spliced from 3 exons. Lineage: Eukaryota; Metazoa; Chordata; Actinopteri; Blenniiformes; Blenniidae.